AACAGGAUUAGAUACCCUGGUAGUCCACGCCGUAAACGAUGUCGACUUGGAGGCUGUUCCCUUGAGGAGUGGCUUCCGGAGCUAACGCGUUAAGUCGACCGCCUGGGGAGUACGGCCGCAAGGUUAAAACUCAAAUGAAUUGACGGGGGCCCGCACAAGCGGUGGAGCAUGUGGUUUAAUUCGAUGCAACGCGAAGAACCUUACCUACUCUUGACAUCCAGAGAAUUUAGCAGAGAUGCUUUAGUGCCUUCGGGAACUCUGAGACAGGUGCUGCAUGGCUGUCGUCAGCUCGUGUUGUGAAAUGUUGGGUUAAGUCCCGCAACGAGCGCAACCCUUAUCCUUUGUUGCCAGCGCGUAAUGGCGGGAACUCAAAGGAGACUGCCGGUGAUAAACCGGAGGAAGGUGGGGAUGACGUCAGGUCAUCAUGGCCCUUACGAGUAGGGCUACACACGUGCUACAAUGGCGCAUACAAAGAGAAGCGACCUCGCGAGAGCAAGCGGACCUCAUAAAGUGCGUCGUAGUCCGGAUUGGAGUCUGCAACUCGACUCCAUGAAGUCGGAAUCGCUAGUAAUCGUAAAUCAGAAUGUUACGGUGAAUACGUUCCCGGGCCUUGUACACACCGCCCGUCACACCAUGGGAGUGGGUUGCAAAAGAAGUAGAUAGCUUAACCUUCGGGAGGGCGUUUACCACUUUGUGAUUCAUGACUGGGGUGAAGUCGUAACAAGGUAACCGUAGGGGAACCUGCGGCUGGAUCACCUCCUU
Molecule: ribosomal RNA, 762 nt
Filed under: uncultured bacterium
Lineage: Bacteria
Description: bacterial SSU rRNA
Rfam family: Bacterial small subunit ribosomal RNA
Source: RNAcentral